GCCCGCUCAGACAACUCAAAGGAAGUUGACGGGGCCCGCACAAGCGGUGGAGUAUGUGGUUUAAUUCGAUGCAACGCGAAGAACCUUACCUGGUCUUGACAUCCCGGAGACCCUUAGGAAACUAGGGGGUGCUUCCAUCUGGAAGAAUCUGGAGACAGGUGCUGCAUGGCUGUCGUCAGCUCGUGUCGUGAGAUGUUGGGUUAAGUCCCGCAACGAGCGCAACCCUUGCCUUUAGUUGCCAGCAGUUCGGCUGGGCACUCUAAAGGGACUGCCGGUGUUAAACCGGAGGAAGGUGGGGAUGACGUCAAGUCCUCAUGGCCUUUAUGACCAGGGCUACACACGUACUACAAUGGCCGAUACAAAGGGCAGCGACACUGCGAGGUGAAGCCAAUCCCGUAAAAUCGGUCUCAGUCCGGAUUGGAGUCUGCAACUCGACUCCAUGAAGUUGGAAUCGCUAGUAAUCGUGGAUCAGCAUGCCACGGUGAAUACGUUCCCGGGCCUU
This 502-nucleotide ribosomal RNA is filed under the name uncultured Desulfobulbus sp. RNAcentral's name for it is "bacterial SSU rRNA". It matches the Rfam family "Bacterial small subunit ribosomal RNA", at positions 884 to 1382 of the family's 1533-position model. The record is from RNAcentral. Lineage: Bacteria; Pseudomonadati; Thermodesulfobacteriota; Desulfobulbia; Desulfobulbales; Desulfobulbaceae.